UGAAGGCUGCAGCUGCAGCGGCAGAGGUGGGUGCAGCGCCGUUGUUGCCGUGUUGUGGAUAAGGCACACGCACAGGCAUUGAAGGCCCAGUGGAGCUGAGGAAGCUCUUCAGAUUUCCAAGGUAAUCAACCUUUGUUGGCGAGGACGUCCAUUGUUUAAGGAACAUAGACCUCUAAAUUAUGUAUUCUGUGAAAUUCUGGUACUUCCCUCUUCUCGAAAAAGUCACACAUUAGCAGCAAGCCAUGAAGUUCGCCAAGGAGUACCCGAAGCAUAUGAUCAAGAAAUGCCAUGCUACGCCCUGUUCCCCACAUGGCCUUGGCGACGAGAGAGACGUCGCCAUCCCAGGAGGUAACCAGUGCUCUGGGGCUAGCCAUUGCUAUGGUAAAUAGUUCUGUUAACCUGUUCUUUGUUCGUCUCUUGAGGGUCCUCCAUUUUUCAUUUUCUACUCGGGAUUCUGUCGUCGCUUAGGUGUUGGCACAAGGAGCAGUCAAGAACUUCGUUGAAUAUUUUCCCCUUAUUUUGGACAAUCAAAUCGAGGAUGAACUCAACCUAAGUGAAUCUUGCCAUUCAGUUCACAUUUCAUUUUGUGUGUUUAGCUCGUAAAAUACCUAUGUUUGGCUUACAGUGCUGAACCUAGUCAUCACUAUGACACUAUGAUCCCUGACAACAAUGGGGCUUUAUAUGGUAAGUUCCAAUUAUGCUUAUUACCCUGCAUAUGUUGUCUUCUUUUAAAUCCUCUUAUAUCGCACUGUCAAAAAAAAUGCUUAGUGUGACAUUAAACGUAUCUGUGAAACCGAUUUGGGGUUGAUAACACAAUGUGUAAGAAGAAUUAAUUUCACGUGGACUGGAACUAGAGAGAUUCGUAAGGUUGAAUGAUGUAUAUCUCAA
Lolium perenne is the source of this 888-nucleotide long non-coding RNA. RefSeq lists it as uncharacterized. The record is from RefSeq and is a predicted model, not a curated record. Lineage: Eukaryota; Viridiplantae; Streptophyta; Magnoliopsida; Poales; Poaceae.